UAAGUAGGUGGCAAGCGUUGUCCGGAAUUAUUGGGCGUAAAGCGCGCGCAGGCGGUUAUGUAAGUCUGAUGUUAAAGCCCGGGGCUCAACCUCGGUUCGCAUUGGAAACUGUGUAACUUGAGUGCAGAAGAGGAAAGUGGUAUUCCACGUGUAGCGGUGAAAUGCGUAGAGAUGUGGAGGAACACCAGUGGCGAAGGCGACUUUCUGGUCUGUAACUGACGCUGAGGCGCGAAAGAGUGGGGAGCAAACAGG
Molecule: ribosomal RNA, 252 nt
Filed under: uncultured bacterium
Lineage: Bacteria
Description: partial 16S ribosomal RNA
Rfam family: Bacterial small subunit ribosomal RNA
Source: RNAcentral